Long non-coding RNA from Arabidopsis lyrata subsp. lyrata, 688 nucleotides. RefSeq lists it as uncharacterized. NCBI's taxonomy places the organism in Eukaryota, Viridiplantae, Streptophyta, Magnoliopsida, Brassicales, Brassicaceae. The record is from RefSeq and is a predicted model, not a curated record. The transcript has 2 exons.
UGAUCUCCAAAGAAUAUAGAAGAUGGAGAUGAAGAUGAAUUGCUAGAAUUGAAGAUGAAUGGAGAAAUAGCAUUUCCGGCCAUGAAAACCUCUACCCGACGGUUACGAGGGGUGCUUCAUAAGCAUGAUUCUAAAGACCGGAGAGAUCUUCGAGCUCUGGUUCAGAAAGACGAUUGCCCAAGCUUUGCAGCGUAGUUGGAGAAGAAGGAGACAAAUCGAUCAUCUACCUACUUGGCCGUUCUUUGCCGUCGUCGUCGUUUUCAAUUUUCCUUUGACUAGGAAAAUAAUUGGAGAUGAACUGAAGAUUUAUUCGAUUUGAAAGCAUCAAAAAUUUGAGCUAAUUCGUUUGAAGGAAAAUUGAAGUUUUUACUUGAUAUAAUCAAUAUCUAAGAUUAGAACCCUUGGGUUUAGUCUAUACUAUCUAGGGUUUAAUUUUCUUUAUUCAACACUUGAUUAAUUGAAAAGAGGGUUAUGGUUGGGGAAAGAGAUGAUGGUUGUCGUCAGAAAAAAAGGUUGUGGUUUGGGGAAAGAAACGUGGGUUGUGCUUGGGGAGAGGAGGAAGAAGAGAUGUAGAAGACAAGGGUAAAUGCAUAAUUUCGUGCAUCUCAAAAAUACCUAAAACUGAAGUCCAGGCAAAUAAUCCUAUAUCUGAAAUUUUUGACCCAAUAAAUGCCCAAUUCAAUAAUAA